UUGCACAAUUUUUAACUUUCCUCCAACGUUCGUUACUCCUAGCGUGCGAGGACGUAGUCUGUCUUUCAAAGAAAGUUCUCGACCACUUUCCAACCAUUUCACGUUAUAUUUACAAACUAUUUUUGUGCUGUAUUCUAUUAUUUACAAACAUCUCUGUCGCCUCGAUCACCAAUCAAACUUCUGUUUCCCUAAGCUUUUGCGAUAAAACCGUUUGCCAGCCGUUACAGAAACCAAUCUACAAAUUGAAUUUAGAAGGGAACAGAUAACUGGUAAUAUAACAUUUAAAUAACAAAAAUGUUGUUCUAGAAUGAUGCAAGAUCAAACAUUCUAAUGUAUCUCUAUCAAUUGGUAUUGAUAGUUACUGUAUUUCAAUUUGUAUAGGACCCGAUGGCUACAACAGGAUAUUAAAGAUUCUUCAGGAAGAAAAUUAGCCAAGUGUGAUUAGCAUGUAACAAGGUUAAAUAACGGGCGUGAUUCGAAAACUAUGCCGGCAAGUCUGUAAACUAUGCGAAUAGACAUGAAUUUCAACAACCAUUGAAACUUGAAGACUUCUUUUUAAAAUUAUUCAAGUUUUAAAAAAAAGAAGAGGAAGAAGAGCGAGGAAUUCGUGGAUCACGCACGAAAACUGAACGCGUCCCUUCGGCACGUCUUCUUCAGAACAUUUUUCAAGGGAAACUAAACGAUCAACAAACUAUUGGACACGACACAAACCCGAAUCUCUGCAAGGAGUGACUGAUGACAUCCGUUGGGCAAGCUUGGCUAUUUAAGCAGUCGGCAGAUAACAAAUACGACAGAACCAUCAGUCUUUGAUAAUUUUAUUAUUCUGAAAAUAUACUUUCAGUAGAAGAACAUGAGAAAGAAGGAUUCAUUGAUAUUAUUUAUUUUAAAAUAUUUAACGAGCAUUAAAAAAAAAAAAAACCGAGUGCUACAUUCGAGCCGAAGAGUUGCGUAAUUCAACGUGGAAGGUUCUCAUCGUACGCUUGGACGAACAGCGUGUAGCUAAUAUCGAAGAAAAAAAUAUAUAAAAGAUUUCCAAAAGCUUUCUUCAAAUAUUGCACGCUCAUUAAAGUGCUUUCAAAUGUCCCCAGGUCUUCUUAUCCGUUUGGGCCAUAAUGUACCCUUCGACAAUAAACACCGCGAGCAUUUCCUGGCAAAAUCCCUCGGCUUAAAUGUAAGUUAACGUGUCCGGCGUUGAACCGCGCCUUCAAUGCGCCCAUCUACCUGAGCGCACUUUCAACUUCGUCUAAGGUCACCGGACAAGUAAAUGACCAAUUUGCAGGUAAAAAAUGCUCGUCGCCUUCCAAAUAACAGUAAUUCACACUGCAGCAGUUCGCGUUUAAUGUAUAUCUAGUCUUUAAAUUUUAA
This is a long non-coding RNA of Osmia lignaria (orchard mason bee), 1365 nucleotides long. RefSeq lists it as uncharacterized. The record is from RefSeq and is a predicted model, not a curated record. NCBI's taxonomy places the organism in Eukaryota, Metazoa, Arthropoda, Insecta, Hymenoptera, Megachilidae.